CUACGGGAGGCUGCAGUGGGGAAUAUUGCACAAUGGGGGAAACCCUGAUGCAGCAACACCGCGUGGAGGAUGACACUUUUCGGAGCGUAAACUCCUUUUAUAUAGGAAGAUAAUGACGGUACUAUAUGAAUAAGCACCGGCUAACUCCGUGCCAGCAGCCGCGGUAAUACGGAGGGUGCAAGCGUUACUCGGAAUCACUGGGCGUAAAGAGCGUGUAGGCGGGUUAAUAAGUCAGAAGUGAAAUCCAAUGGCUCAACCAUUGAACUGCUUUUGAAACUGUUAACCUAGAAUAUGGGAGAGGUAGAUGGAAUUUCUGGUGUAGGGGUAAAAUCCGUAGAGAUCAGAAGGAAUACCGAUUGCGAAGGCGAUCUACUGGAACAUUAUUGACGCUGAGACGCGAAAGCGUGGGGAGCAAACAGGAUUAGAUACCCUCGUAGUC
Molecule: ribosomal RNA, 439 nt
Filed under: uncultured bacterium
Lineage: Bacteria
Description: partial 16S ribosomal RNA
Rfam family: Bacterial small subunit ribosomal RNA
Source: RNAcentral